This 114-nucleotide ribosomal RNA is filed under the name Synergistaceae bacterium. Lineage: Bacteria; Thermotogati; Synergistota; Synergistia; Synergistales; Synergistaceae. The record is from RNAcentral.
UGGUGACCAUGGCGGAGGGGAAACACCCGGAUCCAUACCGAACCCGGCAGUUAAGCCCUCAAGCGCCGAUGGUACUGCGGGGGGGACCCGUGGGAGAGUAGGUCGUUGCCAUGU